UACGGAGGGAGCUAGCGUUGUUCGGAAUUACUGGGCGUAAAGCGCACGUAGGCGGCUUUGUAAGUUAGAGGUGAAAGCCUGGGGCUCAACCCCAGAAUUGCCUUUAAGACUGCAUCGCUUGAAUCCAGGAGAGGUGAGUGGAAUUCCGAGUGUAGAGGUGAAAUUCGUAGAUAUUCGGAAGAACACCAGUGGCGAAGGCGGCUACCUGGACCGGUUCUGACGCUGAGGCGCGAAAGCGUGGGUAGCAAACAGG
This 253-nucleotide ribosomal RNA is filed under the name uncultured bacterium. Its description in RNAcentral is "partial 16S ribosomal RNA". It matches the Rfam family "Bacterial small subunit ribosomal RNA", at positions 524 to 776 of the family's 1533-position model. The record is from RNAcentral.